This 467-nucleotide ribosomal RNA is filed under the name uncultured bacterium. Its description in RNAcentral is "partial 16S ribosomal RNA". It matches the Rfam family "Bacterial small subunit ribosomal RNA", at positions 28 to 506 of the family's 1533-position model. The record is from RNAcentral.
GACGAACGCUGGCGGCGUGCUUAACACAUGCAAGUCGAACGGAAAGGCCCUGCUUUUGUGGGGUGCUCGAGUGGCGAACGGGUGAGUAACACGUGAGUAACCUGCCCUUGACUUUGGGAUAACUUCAGGAAACUGGGGCUAAUACCGGAUAGGAGCUCCUGCUGCAUGGUGGGGGUUGGAAAGUUUCGGCGGUUGGGGAUGGACUCGCGGCUUAUCAGCUUGUUGGUGGGGUAGUGGCUUACCAAGGCUUUGACGGGUAGCCGGCUUGAGAGGGUGACCGGCCACAUUGGGACUGAGAUACGGCCCAGACUCCUACGGGAGGCAGCAGUGGGGAAUAUUGCACAAUGGGCGGAAGCCUGAUGCAGCAACGCCGCGUGCGGGAUGACGGCCUUCGGGUUGUAAACCGCUUUCGCCUGUGACGAAGCGUGAGUGACGGUAAUGGGUAAAGAAGCACCGGCUAACUACGU